ACGUAGGGGGCAAGCGUUGUCCGGAAUCAUUGGGCGUAAAGCGCGCGCAGGCGGUCCCUUAAGUCUGAUGUGAAAGCCCACGGCUCAACCGUGGAGGGCCAUUGGAAACUGGGGGGCUUGAGUGCAGGAGAGGAGAGUGGAAUUCCUGGUGUAGCGGUGAAAUGCGUAGAGAUCAGGAGGAACACCGAUGGCGAAGGCAGCUCUCUGGCCUGUAACUGACGCUGAGGCGCGAAAGCGUGGGGAGCAAACAGGA
This 253-nucleotide ribosomal RNA is filed under the name uncultured prokaryote. RNAcentral's name for it is "partial 16S ribosomal RNA". It matches the Rfam family "Bacterial small subunit ribosomal RNA", at positions 525 to 777 of the family's 1533-position model. The record is from RNAcentral.